This is a non-coding RNA of Anguilla anguilla (European eel), 402 nucleotides long. Lineage: Eukaryota; Metazoa; Chordata; Actinopteri; Anguilliformes; Anguillidae. The record is from the annotation of a RefSeq genome assembly.
UGACUGUCCAGUCCUUUCACAGACACUGACACAGGCAUCAUUAUGAUGAUGUCAAAUGUUUUACUGCUGGUGAUACUGGGACUCUUUGCUCAGGAAUCAAUGGCAGAUAUAGUUCUGACUCAGGAUCAAGCAGCUCAGUCUGUUCAGCUGGGAGACACUGUCACCAUCAGCUGUACAACCAGUCAGAGUGUGGGCAGCAACCUCCACUGGUACCUGCAGAAACCUGGUCAGGCUCCUAAACUUCUGGUUUAUUAUGCCACAACUCGCCAGUCUGGGAUCCCUGAUCGUUUCAGUGGGAGUGGAUCUGGGACUCAGUUUACACUGAAAAUCACUGGAGUCCAGGCUGAAGAUGCAGGAGAUUAUUACUGUCAGCAGGGUUAUAGCACGCCGCUCACACAGUGA